AGAACGAACGCUGGCGGCAUGCCUAAUACAUGCAAGUCGAACGAAGGCUUCGGCCUUAGUGGCGCACGGGUGCGUAACGCGUGGGAAUCUGCCCCCUUGGUUCGGAAUAACAGUUGGAAACGACUGCUAAUACCGGAUGAUGACGAAAGUCCAAAGAUUUAUCGCCAAGGGAUGAGCCCGCGUAGGGUUAGCUAGUUGGUGAGGUAAAGGCUCGCCAAGGCGACGAUCCUUAGCUGGUCUGAGAGGAUGAUCAGCCACACUGGGACUGAGACACGGCCCAGACUCCUACGGGAGCAGCAGUAGGGAUAUUGGACAAUGGGCGAAAGCCUGAUCCAGCAAUGCCGCGUGAGUGAUGAAGGCUUAGGUUGUAAAGCUCUUUUACCCGAGAUGAUAAUGACAGUAUCGGAGAAUAAGCCCCGGCUAACGUCCGUGCCCAGCCGACGCCGAC
This 448-nucleotide ribosomal RNA is filed under the name uncultured soil bacterium. Its description in RNAcentral is "bacterial SSU rRNA". It matches the Rfam family "Bacterial small subunit ribosomal RNA", at positions 26 to 522 of the family's 1533-position model. The record is from RNAcentral.